UACGUAGGGACCAAGCGUUGUUCGGAUUUACUGGGCGUAAAGGGCGCGUAGGCGGGCUGUCCAGUCUGGGGUGAAAUCCCGCGGCUCAACCGUGGAACUGCCUCAGAUACUGACGGCCUCGAGGGAGGUAGGGGCGUGCGGAACUGUAGGUGGAGCGGUGAAAUGCGUUGAUAUCUACAGGAACUCCGGUGGCGAAGGCGGCGCGCUGGACCUCUUCUGACGCUGAGGCGCGAAAGCCAGGGGAGCAAACGGG
RNAcentral lists this ribosomal RNA (253 nucleotides) under uncultured bacterium. RNAcentral's name for it is "partial 16S ribosomal RNA". It matches the Rfam family "Bacterial small subunit ribosomal RNA", at positions 524 to 776 of the family's 1533-position model. The record is from RNAcentral.